UCACCAUGGAAAAAGGCAAAGAACUCAUAAAUGAAAAGAAGGAAGUCACCCCCCUCCACAGACAACAUAUAAUUAUGAACACAUAAGUUGGAGAUUCCCACAGCUGCAAUCAUUCCAAACAUGACGAGGAACAUGCCUCCGAUGACCGGAUCUGGGAUGGUGAUGAAAACGGCCCCGAACUUCCCAACGAGUCCUAGGAUAAUCAUCAGGAGACCAGCGGUCUGAAGGACCAGUCUGCUGCCAACCUGGCAUGAUGGGCACAACGAAGAGGGCACAGCAUUACAAGUCAUUAAUCAUUAAGGAUGUGGUGCCGUUCCCGCUGCCCCACAGCGCUGCCAGGAUGCAGCCAAUGCCCUCCACAGCGAUACCCCGGUUGAUUGCGUGGGUGGGCGGAGGAGGGGCACCGGACAGACGGGCACAGGCAUAGUAGUCCCC
Long non-coding RNA from Oncorhynchus keta (chum salmon), 435 nucleotides. RefSeq lists it as uncharacterized. Lineage: Eukaryota; Metazoa; Chordata; Actinopteri; Salmoniformes; Salmonidae. The transcript is spliced from 3 exons. The record is from RefSeq and is a predicted model, not a curated record.